AGAAAAUGUAAGACAAAUUAAAAGUAAUGAAACAUGACUAAUUUUUAAUUAAUAUGCACCCUGGUACAUGUGAAUAAAGGCCAAAGAUUCUUCGCAAGACAAGAGAAAAUCAAGAGAAAAAACCCUAGUUGCCAACCCUUGCGUUUGGUGUUGUGUUCAGGCAAUACUUCUUGAUCUAUUUUUUUUUUUCCCAUCUUUGUUUCUAGCUGCAGUCGUUCUCUCGCGUUGUUGAGGAGAGUCCUCAGUUCGUGGUUGUGGUCGCUCUCUUGCUUUGUCGAGAGAGAUUUUGUGGUUGUGCAUGGCCAUGGUUUGUUCAAUAUCGGAUUUUAGACCGGCGAUUGUUGUUCAAAUCUGAAGUGGUGGUGUUUAUGAUUUGUGCACCCAACAAAUUACUACAAGAAGGAAACUCGAAGUUUGCUGGAAGGGCUUAUAGCUAGGUUUCUUUGCCAAACGAUUGCAAAAUCAUCAGAGGUUGGUGUGGUCUUUUCCUUGUGGAGCCUCUAUGAUAGUUCUCAGGUUUGUAAUGUUUUAGUCCUCGUGACUAGAUUUUAGGGUUUAGGACUAGGGGUUCUCCAUGAUUGAAGAAUCGUAUUGUAUUUUUGAUGUGUUUGUAAUUGUAGGGUUGUGAUACUUUUGACAUGUGUAGUCUCUUGAAUUGUUCUAAGAUACAUGUUUAACAUGUCUAUAUUGUAUGAAUGGUUGUGACUAUUUUUAAUGGUAUUGAAUUGGUUCUAUGGUAGCCCUCUUGCUGAUUUUUGGUGUCUCUUUCACAUAGGUGGCCAUUGGCUAUGCCUCUGGUGUAGAAAUUUUUGCAGAUCUACACAUUGACAAAAAUUUCUUUUCAGAUAGCUUUUAAUUGUUUUCCUGAUAGGUUUGUACCAGCAGAUUCGGCAACUGUUGGCUUGACUGAUAGAAUAUUUUGCGCAAUGGGAAGCAAGUUUAUGAGUGCCGAAAAGUCGACAUUUAUGAUUGAUUUGCAUCAAGUAGGGAUAAGGUAAGGUAUACUCAAACAGCUUCCCUGUACUAAAUUGUAAUUAUAAUGUGUGAGAUAAAACUGAACUUGCAUCUUUUUAGUAGUAUAGGCAUAACUCUCAGUGCUCCAGUUAUAAGAUUUAUCUCAUUGGCAUGUGUACGAGUAUUUUUAAAAGGCAGAGUACUUCUUAAGAAUAAAAAAUCAUUUGCAUUUCUGAGACUACUAAUUGAUAUGAAUCCUACGGUUUGGAUCACAGGGUUCAUGCUUAAAACAUGUUCUUUAAUCUUAACACAUUUAAUCUACAUUAAUUCUGUGUCAUCUGACCACUAGGCAUGUAUCUAUAUCUUGCUAACUUGUUUUCUUGUGUGAGAUAAUUGCGUCAGUGGGUGGCACUCUAGUUGCUUCAAUUACAGAGCCAGUAGGCGAUUAUAAUUCCCGGGUCUAAACAGUUUAAUUGCGUCUUAGACUCAAAAUAUCAGAUGUAGCUUUGUGAAGUGUACAGUCAGUAUUAGCAACCUCUGAUUCCAAGCUCAUGCAUGUGUUGAUUUCUAUGUUUCACUGCUGUUCAAUGCAAUUUUUCUAUUUAAUGCUUGUGAUUUCACUUUUCAUUUCUUGCAGGCUAGUUCCUGGGCAUGCACUUCUUAGCUAUGGUUAGUAGAUACAUAUAUUAUAUAGAUAUAGAGAUAGAGCUUGACCAAAUAUAUACAUGUAUAUUGUGUGUACUUGUAUGUACUAUAUAUAUAGAGAGAGAAGAUAAGUAUGCUAAAGUUUUAAUGAAGAACUUGCUUGGUUCAACUACGUAAAAGAUAAAA
This is a long non-coding RNA of Malus domestica (apple), 1785 nucleotides long. RefSeq lists it as uncharacterized. The record is from RefSeq and is a predicted model, not a curated record. NCBI's taxonomy places the organism in Eukaryota, Viridiplantae, Streptophyta, Magnoliopsida, Rosales, Rosaceae.